Molecule: ribosomal RNA, 512 nt
Filed under: Pyrenochaeta sp. 04090503A
Lineage: Eukaryota; Fungi; Ascomycota; Dothideomycetes; Pleosporales; Cucurbitariaceae
Description: eukaryotic LSU rRNA
Rfam family: 5.8S ribosomal RNA (bases 151-304)
Source: RNAcentral
AAAGCUCGCCGGGGGAGCUACUUCACUGUUGCCCUGUCUGACCCUUGUCUUUUGCGUACUAUUUGUUUCCUCGGUGGGCUUGCCUGCCGAUAGGACAACCAUUAAACCUUUUGUAAUUGCAAUCAGCGUCAGAAAAAACAUAAUAGUUACAACUUUCAACAACGGAUCUCUUGGUUCUGGCAUCGAUGAAGAACGCAGCGAAAUGCGAAAAGUAGUGUGAAUUGCAGAAUUCAGUGAAUCAUCGAAUCUUUGAACGCACAUUGCGCCCCUUGGUAUUCCAUGGGGCAUGCCUGUUCGAGCGUCAUUUGUACCUUCAAGCCCUGCUUGGUGUUGGGUGUUUGUCCCGCUUUGUGCGUGGACUCGCCUCAAAGCAAUUGGCAGCCGGCGUACUAGCCUGGGAGCGCAGCACAUUUUGCGCAUCUUGUCUUGAACGCUUGCGUCCAUGAAGCCUACAUUUUACUCUUGACCUCGGAUCAGGGAGGGAUACCCGCUGAACUUAAGCUACAAAGGCC